AUGAAGAUUGUCUCCCGGAUUUUGACCACACGCCUGCAGGAGUUUAUUGAGCUACUCGUGUCCUUCGAGCAGUCCGGAUUUAUUGCUGGGAGAUGCAUUGCCGACAAUUUCUUGUAUGCUGCUGACUUGGUUCAGAGUUGUCGUCUCCGCAAAACACCCACGAUCGCCCUGAAGUUGGAUUUCAAAAAAGCCUUUGAUUCAGUCAGUUGGGACGCUCUGGAUAUAAUUAUGCAUGCUCGUGGCUUUGGCGAACGCUGGCGCACCUGGAUCCGCAAUAUCCUUGCCCCCGGCAAAACUGCGAUCUUGCUGAAUGGGGUGCCUGGUAGAUGGAUUCAGUGUAAAAAAGGAUUGCGCCAAGGGGACUCUUUGUCACCUUACCUUUUCUUGAUAGUUGCAGACCUCCUUCGCCAGUUGAUUGCCAAGGAUACCUCCCCCUCCAGGUUGCUACACCCGCUUGUCGACGACCUGCCGUGUCCUGUUAUUCAGUAUGCAGACGACACCCUCCUCUUGAUCCGUGCUGAUCAUGGACAACUCUCGCGACUGAAAUCUAUUCUGGAUGCAUUCUCUGCCGCCACGGGGCUUUCUAUCAACUUCCACAAGAGCACUUUCGUUCCGAUGGGCAUUGACCCCGUCCAUGCUGCCUCCUUGGCUGCUGAGCUUGGCUGUCCACUGUCGACGUUCCCCCAGACGUACCUCGGCUUACCUCUCUCCGAUGUCAAGCUCCCAGCUAGUGCCCUGGAAUUCUUGCCGAUCAAGAUUGAACGACGUAUCCCCGGAUGGCGCACACGUGGCCUCGACCCUGGGGGGCGUUUGACACUUACUUCUGCGGUGCUCUCUGCCAUCCCUACUCAUGCCAUGUCCGUACUCCCAAUCUCCAAGGGCACUGUGGCCAGGAUGGACCGCCCCCGUAGGGCCAUGUUCUAG
This 924-nucleotide ribosomal RNA is filed under the name Triticum aestivum (bread wheat). RNAcentral describes it as "partial small subunit ribosomal RNA". Lineage: Eukaryota; Viridiplantae; Streptophyta; Magnoliopsida; Poales; Poaceae. The record is from RNAcentral.